UACGUAGGGGGCUAGCGUUGUUCGGAAUCACUGGGCGUAAAGCGCUCGUAGGCGGCUUUCUAAGUCAGGGGUGAAAUCCCGGAGCUCAACUCCGGAACUGCCUUUGAUACUGGAGAGCUUGAGUUCGGGAGAGGUGAGUGGAACUGCGAGUGUAGAGGUGAAAUUCGUAGAUAUUCGCAAGAACACCAGUGGCGAAGGCGGCUCACUGGCCCGAUACUGACGCUGAGGUGCGAAAGCGUGGGGAGCAAACAGG
RNAcentral lists this ribosomal RNA (253 nucleotides) under uncultured bacterium. RNAcentral describes it as "partial 16S ribosomal RNA". It matches the Rfam family "Bacterial small subunit ribosomal RNA", at positions 524 to 776 of the family's 1533-position model. The record is from RNAcentral.